GAUGAACGCUGGCGGCGUGCUUAACACAUGCAAGUCGAACGGUGAACACGGAGCUUGCUCUGUGGGAUCAGUGGCGAACGGGUGAGUAACACGUGAGCAACCUGCCCCUGACUCUGGGAUAAGCGCUGGAAACGGCGUCUAAUACUGGAUAUGUGACGUGACCGCAUGGUCUGCGUUUGGAAAGAUUUUUCGGUUGGCGAUGGCCUCGCGGCCUAUCAGCUUGUUGGUGGGGUAAUGGCUCACCAAGGCGUCGACGGGUAGCCGGCCUGAGAGGGUGACCGGCCACACUGGGACUGAGACACGGCCCAGACUCCUACGGGAGGCAGCAGUGGGGAAUAUUGCACAAUGGGCGGAAGCCUGAUGCAGCAACGCCGCGUGAGGGAUGACGGCCUUCGGGUUGUAAACCUCUUUUAGCAGGGAAGAAGCGAAAGUGACGGUACCUGCAGAAGAAGCGCCGGCUAACUACGUG
This 469-nucleotide ribosomal RNA is filed under the name uncultured bacterium. RNAcentral describes it as "partial 16S ribosomal RNA". It matches the Rfam family "Bacterial small subunit ribosomal RNA", at positions 28 to 507 of the family's 1533-position model. The record is from RNAcentral.